UGCGCAGGUGGGCUUGUAAGUCAGUGGUGAAAUACUGCCGCUUAACGGUAGAACUGCCAUUGAUACUGCAAGUCUUGAAUAUGGUUGAGGUAGGCGGAAUGUGUCGUGUAGCGGUGAAAUGCAUAGAUAUGACACAGAACGCCGAUUGCGAAGGCAGCUUACUAAGCCAUUAUUGACGCUGAGGCACGAAAGCGUGGGGAGCGAACAGGAUUAGAUACCCUGGUAGUCC
Molecule: ribosomal RNA, 229 nt
Filed under: uncultured bacterium
Lineage: Bacteria
Description: partial 16S ribosomal RNA
Rfam family: Bacterial small subunit ribosomal RNA
Source: RNAcentral